GCUGGUCUCCUAUAUUAACCACUAGAUGUUCUGUCGUGGUCUUCAGGUCUGCUGGUCUCCUAUAUUAAUCAUUAGAUGUUCUGUCAUGAUCUUCAGGUCUGCUGGUCUCCUAUAUUAAUCAUUAGAUGUUCUGUCAUGAUCUUCAGGUCUGCUGGUCUCCUAUAUUAGUCAUUAGAUGUUCUGUCAUGGUCUUCAGGUCUGCUGGUCUCAUAUAUUAGUCAUUAGAUGUUCUGUCAUGGUCUUCAGGUCUCCUAUAUUAACUAUUAGACGUUCUGUCAUGGUCUUCAGGUCUCCUAUAUUAAUCAUUAGAUGUUCUGUCAUGGUCUUCAGGUCUGCUGGUCUCCUAUAUUAAUCAUUUCCGUCAACCAUAGGGAGGUGGAAACACAGGCAACAACACAAACAGACACACAUUAAAGUAAUGAGAGGACUAAGGAAAGCCAUCAGUGGAUAUAAGACGUGGCCUCAUGGAAGAAGAGAGAAUGUGAUAGAUGUGAUGGAACGCCUCAAAUUAUUCCAUGAAUUAUUUAGCAUCUACAGGCUGGGGCUGGACAGGACGUAUGG
Oncorhynchus tshawytscha (Chinook salmon) is the source of this 561-nucleotide long non-coding RNA. The record is from Ensembl. Lineage: Eukaryota; Metazoa; Chordata; Actinopteri; Salmoniformes; Salmonidae.